RNAcentral lists this ribosomal RNA (413 nucleotides) under uncultured bacterium. Its description in RNAcentral is "bacterial SSU rRNA". It matches the Rfam family "Bacterial small subunit ribosomal RNA", at positions 505 to 916 of the family's 1533-position model. The record is from RNAcentral.
GUGUCAGCCGCCGCGGUAAUACGUAGGUGGCGAGCGUUGUCCGGAAUUACUGGGUGUAAAGGGUGCGUAGGCGGGUAUGCAAGUCAGGUGUGAAAGCCCAAGGCUUAACUUUGGGAGUGCAUUUGAAACUGCAUAUCUUGAGUGGGGGAGAGGUAAGCGGAAUUCCCAGUGUAGCGGUGAAAUGCGUAGAUAUUGGGAGGAACACCAGUGGCGAAGGCGGCUUACUGGACUCUAACUGACGCUGAGGCACGAAAGCGUGGGGAGCAAACAGGAUUAGAUACCCUGGUAGUCCACGCUGUAAACGAUGGAUACUAGGUGUGGGGGGUAUUGAUACCUUCCGUGCCGGAGUUAACACAAUAAGUAUCCCACCUGGGGAGUACGGCCGCAAGGUUGAAACUCAAAUAAAUUGGCGG